Molecule: ribosomal RNA, 164 nt
Filed under: uncultured bacterium
Lineage: Bacteria
Description: partial 16S ribosomal RNA
Rfam family: Bacterial small subunit ribosomal RNA
Source: RNAcentral
UAGGGAAUCUUCCACAAUGGACGCAAGUCUGAUGGAGCAACGCCGCGUGAGUGAAGAAGGGUUUCGGCUCGUAAAACUCUGUUGUUAAAGAAGAACAUAUCUGAGAGUAACUGUUCAGGUAUUGACGGUAUUUAACCAGAAAGUCACGGCUAACUACGUGUCAG